This 244-nucleotide long non-coding RNA is filed under the name Mytilus galloprovincialis (Mediterranean mussel). Lineage: Eukaryota; Metazoa; Mollusca; Bivalvia; Mytilida; Mytilidae. The record is from RNAcentral.
GGGGUUUUUGAGUUAUAAGCCAAAAACUGCAUUUUACCCCUAUGUUCUAUUUUUAGCCAUGGCGGCCAUCUUGGUUGGUUGGCCGGGUCACCGAACACAUUUUUUAAACUAGAUACCCUAAUGAUGAUUGUGACCAACUUUGGUUAAAUUUGGCCCAGUAGUUUCAGAGGAGAAGAUUUUUGUAAAAGUUAACGACGACGGACGACGGACGCCAAGUGAUGAGAAAAGCUUACUUGGCCCUUUG